GAUGAAGAACGUAGCGAAAUGCGAUAAGUAGUGUGAAUUGCAGAAUUCAGUGAAUCAUCGAAUCUUUGAACGCACAUUGCGCCCUUUGGUAUUCCUUAGGGCAUGCCUGUUCGAGCGUCAUUUAAACCUUCAAGCUCAGCUUGGUGUUGGGUGACUGUCCGCCGCCUCCGGGCGGUCGGACUCGCCUCAAAUCGAUUGGCGGCCGGUACUUUGGCUUCGAGCGCAGCAGAAACGCGAACUCGAGGCCGUCGUCCUGGCUCCCAGAAGCUAUCUUCACAAUUUUGACCUCGGAUCAGGUAGGGAUACCCGCUGAACUUAAGCAUAUCAAUAAGCGGUGGA
Molecule: unclassified non-coding RNA, 339 nt
Filed under: soil metagenome
Description: partial contains 5.8S ribosomal RNA, internal transcribed spacer 2, and large subunit ribosomal RNA
Rfam family: 5.8S ribosomal RNA (bases 1-120)
Source: RNAcentral